Eriocheir sinensis (Chinese mitten crab) is the source of this 929-nucleotide long non-coding RNA. RefSeq lists it as uncharacterized. The record is from RefSeq and is a predicted model, not a curated record. NCBI's taxonomy places the organism in Eukaryota, Metazoa, Arthropoda, Malacostraca, Decapoda, Varunidae. The transcript has 2 exons.
AAAAAUAGUAGCAGGAAAAACAAACGAGACUGAAGGAGCGAAUGUGUGGCAUAAGUGGCGUGAGAGUCCACUAACAGACCCCAACCUGUUUGCCGAUAAAUUGCCCACCAGUGAAGUGUCAUCUUGUGUACUGUCCUGGAUUUUGGAUGAAGUGAGACCACAGAAGAAAACUGCCCGAACCGAACAGCUCAUGACAACUAGAACCUACAAGAGGACUUCUCAGCCUCCCCUUCAAUCAAACCUGUGUGUGUGUGGGUGUGUGUGGGUGUCCCCUCAUGGUUGUGUUUUAUAGACUUACAAUCGUGUUAAUGUGAUCAAAUUAAAGGCCACAACUAGGUUUGGAUUCAUGUGUGAUGGUGUUGAAGGGGAAGCUGACUGUAGCUAAAUAUCAGUGUUUAGUAAAUUAAUGAACAAUAUGGUAUAGCAGGCGCGGGUGCUUCAUACAUGUUUCUUAUCUAAACCUCGACAUGUAGAGAAGACUUUACCUGUUGGUCUUGACAAAACGCUGCAGACACUAACAUAGUACGAAACAACAGGUACAAAAACUUUUUACUUGAGGUAUUUAGAGAAACUAGGAAAGCCAUCAUGAUUCUAAAAUGUAAGAACAAAGGUUUGGUGAACUAAAUGAUUUUUUGUGUGUGUAUGAGAAAAACAAUUCUUAGGUUUGCAUAUUAGUUCUUGUGAAUUCUGGUGACCCCUUAUUAGUCAGACUGUAUGGCUGCAUGUAUGUGUAAAUGAUCUCUAGUCAUAGCUUGGUGUCAUGUCCCUACAACUAGUCAGUGAUUGCUUGUCUUCGUGUGUUCAUGUAUGGAUCACCUCUUUAAAAAAAAAAAUCCCCAACACUGUCACAUGGAAGGUCUAGUUUUCUGUCAUGUGAACUGAAAAUAAACCUUGUUAAAUUUUGCAGAAAAUUAAAAUGUGACCCCUCA